RNAcentral lists this ribosomal RNA (253 nucleotides) under uncultured bacterium. Its description in RNAcentral is "partial 16S ribosomal RNA". It matches the Rfam family "Bacterial small subunit ribosomal RNA", at positions 524 to 776 of the family's 1533-position model. The record is from RNAcentral.
UACGUAGGGUGCAAGCGUUGUCCGGAAUUAUUGGGCGUAAAGAGCUCGUAGGCGGUUUGUUGCGUCGGCUGUGAAAUCCCGAGGCUCAACCUCGGGUCUGCAGUCGAUACGGGCAGACUAGAGUGUGGUAGGGGAGACUGGAAUUCCUGGUGUAGCGGUGAAAUGCGCAGAUAUCAGGAGGAACACCGGUGGCGAAGGCGGCAUCCUGGACCGGUAUUGACGCUGAGGCGCGAAAGCUAGGGGAGCAAACGGG